GAUGAAGAACGUAGCGAAAUGCGAUAAGUAAUGUGAAUUGCAGAAUUCAGUGGAUCAUCGAAUCUUUGAACUCACAUUGCGCCCCCUGGUAUUCCGGGGGGCAUGCCUGUCCGAGCGUCAUUACAACCCUCAAGCUCAGCUUGGUGUUGGGCCCCGCCGCCCCGUCGGGCCCUAAAGUCAGUGGCGGUGCAGUCCGGCUCCGAGCGUAGUAAUUCUUCUCGCUCUGGAUGUCCGGUCGUGUGCUCGCCAGCAACCCCCAAUUUUUUUCAGGUUGACCUCGGAUCAGGUAGGGAUACCCGCUGAACUUAAGCAUAUCAAUAAGCGGAGGA
RNAcentral lists this unclassified non-coding RNA (329 nucleotides) under soil metagenome. RNAcentral's name for it is "partial contains 5.8S ribosomal RNA, internal transcribed spacer 2, and large subunit ribosomal RNA". The stretch from base 1 to 120 matches the Rfam family "5.8S ribosomal RNA", at positions 35 to 154 of the family's 154-position model. The record is from RNAcentral.